GGAGCAUCAGCACCACCAUGAGACUCGCCGCAUUGCUGGUUCUGCUGUGCCUGUGCUCUACUGCGAAGGCUUUGCCCUCUAGCAUUCCAGCCACACCAGAGAUGGGAUUAUCUGCAUCAGGAAAUGGCACAAUAAACAUUCCUAGUAAAUCAAUAAUGAAUGAAGUUCUGCAGUUUGGAGUAAGAGGUCCACCAAUACCUGCUUGAUGACAUGCAAGACUAACAUAAGUUGCCCAAAGGGACCAAUCCAGGAAAGGCAAUAAAAAAAAAAAUGUCAUUGCUUAAAAUAAAAUAAACUGAAA
Molecule: long non-coding RNA, 301 nt
Organism: Polypterus senegalus (gray bichir)
Lineage: Eukaryota; Metazoa; Chordata; Cladistia; Polypteriformes; Polypteridae
Exons: 4
Source: RefSeq, a predicted model, not a curated record